AGCCUCCCAAGCCUCCCAAGCCUCCCCAGAGAGAAAACAGAGGAACUUUCUCUUGUUAGAUCUCAAAGACGUGCAGAGGGAUGUCUUAGGAGGCAGCUGCCACCACCACUGCCACAGACCUCUGGGAGACAGGGUGUCACCGUCAGAAUAGGGGCUGGCCCCUCUCCUACCUAAGGAUAAAACUCGAUGCACAUUUAAAGUCAUUAAUGGAAAGCAGGCUGCAUUGAAGGGGACAAGCUGUGAUCUCAGCAAAGAGUUUGUUCAAAUCCACAUGUCGUCCACCUAAAUGAUCUCAUUGUCUUCUCGUGAGAACGCUGUGACCUAGUGCCACUGUUCCCGCCUUGUACCAACAAGGGCAACUGAGGCUCAGGGAGACAUAUUUGCUCCUGCUCCUUGGACAACAGUGGUCCAGGCAACAGGUUUUCCUUCAGGCCCCUCGCUCUCUG
Molecule: long non-coding RNA, 446 nt
Organism: Otolemur garnettii (small-eared galago)
Lineage: Eukaryota; Metazoa; Chordata; Mammalia; Primates; Galagidae
Exons: 3
Source: RefSeq, a predicted model, not a curated record